Molecule: ribosomal RNA, 480 nt
Filed under: uncultured bacterium
Lineage: Bacteria
Description: partial 16S ribosomal RNA
Rfam family: Bacterial small subunit ribosomal RNA
Source: RNAcentral
ACUCAAAGGAAUUGACGGGGACCCGCACAAGCAGCGGAGCGUGUGGUUUAAUUCGAUGCGACGCGAAUAACCUUACCAGGGCUUGACAUCUAUUCGCAACACCAAGAAAUUGGUGCCUCCUUACGGACGGAUAGACAGAUGUUGCAUGGCUGUCGUCAGCUCGUGUCGUGAGAUGUUGGGUUAAGUCCCGCAACGAGCGCAACCCUUGUCCUUAGUUGCAUAUCUAGGGAGACCGCCGGAAACAAACCGGAGGAAGGUGGGGAUGACGUCAAGUCAGCAUGACUCUUACGUCCUGGGCUACACACACGCUACAAUGGCCACUACAAAAAGAAGCCACGGAGCGAUCCGGAGCAGACCUCAAAAGGUGGCCCCAGUUCAGAUUGCACUCUGCAACCCGAGUGCAUGAAGGCGGAGUUGCUAGUAACCGCGUGUCAGCAUAGCGCGGUGAAUAUGUUCCCGGGUCUUGUACACACCGCCCGU